Molecule: non-coding RNA, 126 nt
Organism: Hordeum vulgare subsp. vulgare (domesticated barley)
Lineage: Eukaryota; Viridiplantae; Streptophyta; Magnoliopsida; Poales; Poaceae
Source: Rfam
UAAGUACUCCCUCCAUCCAAAAAUAUUUGUCGGAUGAAUGGAUGUAUCUAGAUGUAUUUUAGUUCUAGAUAUAUCCAUUUUAAUCUAUUUUUUGCGACAAGUAAUUACGGACGGAGGGAGUAUAAG